UUGUGAGUCUGUCUGCUCACCUGUGGGAGCCAGAGGAGGGCAUCAGGUCCCCUGGCAUUGCAAUCACAGAUAUUUGAGAGUCACUUGAUCUAGAAGUAGGGUUAUUUGCUAGGUCUCUCCAGCAAACACUCCAUUUUAAAAAAUACUUAAAAUUUCUAUUUUUUUUAAGCUCACAUUUUAAGGAUGUAUGUCUAACACUCACACAUUUAGGUAUUAGUUGGAACAAUGAUGUUUUUAUUUCUAAAACAUUUUCUUUUGUUCAAUGUUUUUUCUUCUCAGAAUUUCUGAAAAAAAAUGUGCCCCCCUUCUUUUUCAGUGAUGGUUGUAUUGCUUUAAGGACAAAUGCCUGACUAACACUUGAGAGGCAGUGAAAUCUCUUAAAUGUGUACUUGGCCAUUCAAGGAGGUGGCCCCUCUGUGUAGCAGCCUUGUGCGUGCACCAGCCAAAUUUUAGCUAACUGGCUUUUUAAUUCUUCCUUUCAGAAAAAAUUACCGAGUUGCUAUCUUCAGGUUCAGUGAAUGCAAACACUCCACUGGUCCUUGUGAAUGCCAUCUACUUCAAAGGGAACUGGAAGAAGCAGUUUAACAAAGAGGACACUCAAGAAAUGCCUUUCAAAGUCACCAAGAAUGAGGAGAAACCUGUGAAAAUGAUGUUUAAGAAAUCUACCUUUAAGAUGACCUAUGUGGAAGAGAUAUCCACUACUAUUCUGUUGCUUCCCUAUGUUGGCAAUGAACUG
Molecule: long non-coding RNA, 736 nt
Filed under: Rattus norvegicus (Norway rat)
Lineage: Eukaryota; Metazoa; Chordata; Mammalia; Rodentia; Muridae
Description: long non-coding RNA NONRATT012931
Source: RNAcentral